GGAGAGCUGGCCGAGUGGCUGAAGGCGCGCCCCUGCUAAGGGCGUAUAGGUGAAAGCUUAUCGAGGGUUCGAAUCCCUCGCUCUCCGCCA
This 90-nucleotide transfer RNA is filed under the name Gammaproteobacteria bacterium. RNAcentral describes it as "tRNA-Ser". It matches the Rfam family "tRNA". Rfam says of the family: Transfer RNA (tRNA) molecules are approximately 80 nucleotides in length. Their secondary structure includes four short double-helical elements and three loops (D, anti-codon, and T loops). Further hydrogen bonds mediate the characteristic L-shaped molecular structure. tRNAs have two regions of fundamental functional importance: the anti-codon, which is responsible for specific mRNA codon recognition, and the 3' end, to which the tRNAs corresponding amino acid is attached (by aminoacyl-tRNA synthetases). tRNAs cope with the degeneracy of the genetic code in two manners: having more than one tRNA (with a specific anti-codon) for a particular amino acid; and 'wobble' base-pairing, i.e. permitting non-standard base-pairing at the 3rd anti-codon position. Lineage: Bacteria; Pseudomonadati; Pseudomonadota; Gammaproteobacteria. RNAcentral also lists the same sequence under 1 other name. The record is from RNAcentral.